AGAGUGAACGCUGGCGGUAGGCCUAACACAUGCAAGUCGAACGGCAGCACGGUAAGAGCUUGCUCUUAUGGGUGGCGAGUGGCGGACGGGUGAGGAAUACAUCGGAAUCUACCUUUUGGUGGGGGAUAACGUAGGGAAACUUACGCUAAUACCGCAUACGCCCUUCGGGGGAAAGCCUGGGACCAGCAAUGGCCUGGUGCUGAUAGAUGAGCCGAUGUCGGAUUAGCUAGUUGGUGAGGUAAUGGCUCACCAAGGCGACGAUCCGUAGCUGGUCUGAGAGGAUGAUCAGCCACACUGGAACUGACGACUACGGUCCAGACCUCCGUACGGGACGCAGCGAGGUAGGGGAAUAGUUAGGACAAGGU
This 365-nucleotide ribosomal RNA is filed under the name uncultured soil bacterium. Its description in RNAcentral is "bacterial SSU rRNA". It matches the Rfam family "Bacterial small subunit ribosomal RNA", at positions 26 to 376 of the family's 1533-position model. The record is from RNAcentral.